UAGGGAAUCUUCCGCAAUGGACGCAAGUCUGACGGAGCAACGCCGCGUGAGUGAAGAAGGUUUUCGGAUCGUAAAGCUCUGUUGUUAAGGAAGAACGAGUGUGAGAAUGGAAAGUUCAUACUGUGACGGUACUUAACCAGAAAGGGACGGCUAACUACGUGCCAGCAGCCGCGGUAAUACGUAGGUCCCGAGCGUUGUCCGGAUUUAUUGGGCGUAAAGCGAGCGCAGGCGGUUAGAUAAGUCUGAAGUUAAAGGCAGUGGCUCAACCAUUGUAGGCUUUGGAAACUGUUUAACUUGAGUGCAGAAGGGGAGAGUGGAAUUCCAUGUGUAGCGGUGAAAUGCGUAGAUAUAUGGAGGAACACCGGUUGCGAAAGCGGCUCUCUGGUCUGUAACUGACGCUGAGGCUCGAAAGCGUGGGGAGCGAACAGG
Molecule: ribosomal RNA, 429 nt
Filed under: Bacteroidota bacterium
Lineage: Bacteria; Pseudomonadati; Bacteroidota
Description: Bacteroidetes bacterium partial 16S ribosomal RNA
Rfam family: Bacterial small subunit ribosomal RNA
Source: RNAcentral